This 102-nucleotide non-coding RNA is filed under the name Bacillus sp. (in: firmicutes). RNAcentral's name for it is "Bacillus sp. Guanine sequence". It matches the Rfam family "Purine riboswitch aptamer". Rfam says of the family: Riboswitches are metabolite binding domains within certain messenger RNAs that serve as precision sensors for their corresponding targets. Lineage: Bacteria; Bacillati; Bacillota; Bacilli; Caryophanales; Bacillaceae. The record is from RNAcentral.
AUUAAAUAUGUCGUUUUACGUCGUAUAAUAUUGGGGAUAUGGCCCAAAAGUUUCUACCGAGCUGCCGUAAAUAGCUUGACUACGAGGUAAGUGCAAAUAGGG